UACGUAGGGUGCGAGCGUUGUCCGGAAUUAUUGGGCGUAAAGAGCUCGUAGGCGGUUUGUUGCGUCUGUCGUGAAAACCUGCAGCUUAACUGUGGGCUUGCGGUGGAUACGGGCAGACUUGAGUUCGGUAGGGGAGACUGGAAUUCCUGGUGUAGCGGUGAAAUGCGCAGAUAUCAGGAGGAACACCGGUGGCGAAGGCGGGUCUCUGGGCCGAUACUGACGCUGAGGAGCGAAAGCGUGGGGAGCGAGCAGG
RNAcentral lists this ribosomal RNA (253 nucleotides) under uncultured bacterium. Its description in RNAcentral is "partial 16S ribosomal RNA". It matches the Rfam family "Bacterial small subunit ribosomal RNA", at positions 524 to 776 of the family's 1533-position model. The record is from RNAcentral.